GGGGAUGAUGCUGUAGUGUGUUGGGACAGGUACUGCUAUCACAGGGGAUGAUGCUGUAGUGUUUUGGGACAGGUACUGCUAUCACAGGGAUCGAUGCUGUAGUGUGUUGGGACAGGUACUGCUAUAACAGGGAUCGAUGAUGUAGUGUGUUGGGACAGGUACUGCUAUAACAGGGAUCGAUGAUGUAGUGUGUUGGGACAGGUACUGCUAUCACAGGGGAUGAUGCUGUAGUGUGUUGGGACAGGUACUGCUAUCACAGGGAUCGAUGCUGUAGUGUGUUGGGACAGGUACUGCUAUAACAGGGGAUGAUGAUGUAGUGUGUUGGGACAGGUACUGCUAUAACACAGGAGAUGAUGCUCUAGUGUGUUGGGACAGAUACUGAUAUAACAGGGGAUGAUGCUGUAGUGUGUUGGGACAGGUACUGCUAUACCAGGGAAUGAUGCUGUAGUGUGUUGGGACAGGUACUGCUAUACCAGGGAAUGACGCCCUUGUCCGCAGGCCUGGGCAACUCCAGUCCCCGGGGACCUGAUUGGUCCCAACAAACACAACUGAUUUAAACGAAUUACAUUCUAAACUGAAGAUCAGAUUCAGUUGAUUAUUGGAGUCAGGUGUGUUAGCUGGGGACAAAAUGUGACACCAAUCAGGACCGUAGUUUCCCAUGGCCUGCGUGUGUUAACCUCCAUGCCAGUAGAGGGCAGAGCUGAGUAGGUGUUACCUGAAUAAACACUGGGGACAAUGAAGCCAAGCUGUAAGUCAGAGUGACCUCGUCAUGUUCUACUGGUCAACAUCCAGAACAGUAGCAACAUACAGUAAACCAAGGCCUGCCACCAAAAUGAUGAAAUGUACUGAAAUGUACCUGAGGGUAACUUUAAACAUUUCACUGAAUGAUGAUACAGUGGGGCAAAAA
Long non-coding RNA from Oncorhynchus tshawytscha (Chinook salmon), 907 nucleotides. The record is from Ensembl. NCBI's taxonomy places the organism in Eukaryota, Metazoa, Chordata, Actinopteri, Salmoniformes, Salmonidae.